UAUUAUUUUACUAUUUGGAUGAAUGUGUAGGGCAGUGCUUCCUUGGCACUGGGGAUAUUUCAUUGAGCAAAACUAAAAAUAUCUUCCCUCAUGGAGUUUAUGUUAUAGUAAGACAUACGUGUACCUCUAUAAUAACUAUUACGUUAGAAGGUAUAAAGUAUUGUGAAAAAUAUAUAGAGCAGUAGUGGAGUGGGAAGAAAUGUUUUGAAAUAGAGCUUGAGAUUCUUGAUUGUCUUGCCCUCUACUUGAACAGUGUCUUCUAGGAAGCCCAGACACAUGGAGAAGUUCUGAGUGUUUUGGCCGAUAGUCCCAGAUGAGGUUCCAGCAACAGCUGGGAUCACCCAUGAGAUGUGAGUGAGGAAGGCUUUGAGAUGGUUUCAGCCCUAGCCACCACUGACCUCAUAAGAGACCACAAGAAUGAGAAUCACCUGGCCAAGCCCAGCAGACCUUCAGAAUUCAGAAAUAAAAUAAUUCAUCUUAUUUUAAGCCACUGUGUUUUGGU
Molecule: long non-coding RNA, 502 nt
Filed under: Homo sapiens (human)
Lineage: Eukaryota; Metazoa; Chordata; Mammalia; Primates; Hominidae
Description: non-protein coding CYTOR:130
Source: RNAcentral